ACAUAUUCCUCUUUGCUCCAUAUAGUCUUCAAGAAAAACAAGGGAAAGCAACCUAGAGAGAAUUCUGAUUUAAUCAGAAAAGAAUUAUAUUUUGAGAUCAUGUGUUGACUCAUAGGAGAAGGAGAGGGGUAAGUUGGAGAGAUCAAACUCUAGAGUCAAUAUCAGCACCUCCUCUGCCCUUAAUAGUUUUAUUUGGGCUAGUGAUUUUCUUGAUUUCUAUGAAUACUUAUUCAGAGUAUAAGGCAACAAUAGAAAGAUCCAAAGUUAGUUUGAAGUUGUUGUCUAUCUUGUUGCCUUUUCUUGUCAUUCUUUUGGUGUAUAUCUUGCUUAAUAGUAACAGGUGGUUUUAUCCAGUUGGAGUUUCAAGGCCAGUUAUGUACCACUUGGCUAGUCAAGAAGGAAGCUCUCCUUGGGGUUUGGCUCUGCUAUUGGUGCUACUUUUGGUCAUGGUUCAUUAUCAAGAUUCAUUUCAAUCUACUUGGUUUCGUAUACUUUGACGAAAUGUUACCCUAGAGGACAAACUGGCCCUCGCUGCUAGUUUACGGAUACGAGAUAUCCAUCCUACGAUGCAGAAAUUAUUUAGUUUGUUAUAUUACUAUAUAGUACCUUUUACAUCUCUUCACAAACUUCUUUGGCAAAAGUUGUAGCUUGUAUACUAUUAGGAUUAAUAUGAUUAGGUGCCUUAGUGUAUUAACCUACCAUGAUUUGGAGUUGAACUGUUUUUCAUUUGUUUCUCGGGAGCCUAUUUCAUUAUGUAAUUAUAUGUUUUCUUUUCAAUAUUUUUGAGUUGGGACAUUAACUAAUUAAAAUCUUCAUGUUUGUAUGACCUUGCAGCACUUUGAAAAAGAUUUAUUACCGUGGCCUUUGCAUGUCUUUGAUUUAAAUUUUUCUCAAAGUGAUAUAUUCAUAUACUAUGGUGAGCUUCAGGGAAAAACUUUUCUAAUACCAUUUGCAAUCGAUUGGUUUCUAUCUAACAAGAAAACCAGUUCAUGACGGACUUGAAUUGCUUUUCUCAUUUCCCCGAAGAACCAAAUAUAUGCCUCAUUGUUUUCUGAAUCUGCUAUAGCAAAACAUAGAGGAAAUAUUUGAUUGUUUGCAUCCUUUGAUACAACAACAAAUAGAACACCACGAUAUUUUGACUUCAAAAAUAUUGGAUCUACUGCAAUAACGGGUCUACAGUAGGACAACCAUCUACUGAUGCCGCAAGAGGAAAGAACAUGUAAGCAAAUAUGUAUAUUGAAUCACAAAAAAAAUAAAUCAUAAGGUGUGAAGUUUUUUAAAUAGUAACUUUAGGCUGAUGGUUAGUAUUGUUUUGCCUACCUAUUCUGUGCAUCUCUUUUUAUGCUUGUGUACGUUCUUGAGUUUUUGGCCACCAUCAUGUGUAGGUAUGAAGGAAGAAUCUGGUAAUUCUCUUUAGGUGUUCCCCUUAUGCAAGCAACAACUUUUUGAAUGGCACACCAUGCCUUGUGAUAACCAAUAUCAAUUCUAAAUUUCUUUUUCAUUUUAUUUUCUACAAAGGCUAGUGUAACCUCUAUCUUUUUGUCUCAAACAUGUUCUAUAAUUUGUUCACUUAUAAAAUUUGAUGUAGCAUGCUUCUGAUCGGAUUUCUUGCAUCAACCGAGCAUUCAUGGAUGUUGUGAUAUUUUAUCACCCUGAACAGUGUAGAAUUCUUUAUUCUGGUAGCACGUACAUUCCAAAAACAUUUGUCCACGAUGCAUUUUAGCUUGUAUCUCUUAGAACAUGAUCUAACAAUAGUGAAUUCAACUUUUUGGUUUAUCUCCAAACUGUAAAAUAAUUUAGUCAUGUUUUGUUUGUUCUCAAAGAUGGAUCCAACUUUUACUUCCUUAGGCAAAGCAUCGUGCCGAAGUAUUUUACAUGCUGGAGAUUCUUUCAACUUUCUCCUCAGUCUUUUUCUUGAUUUCUGAGGAGCACAAGAACUUUCAGUAAUUUCUUCAAUUCUAUCUGAUGUUAUUGGUAUAAGCUCCAUGUUUACUUCAUCUCAUUAUUGCUUAUCAUUGCAGAAGGUAACAAAAAUCUUUUUUGGACUGUGUGUUGGUUGUCAAUUUUGCAUUAUUAGGUGUCCUUCUUCUUCUUGGUCAUCGCCAAAUUGGAAUGAAUUUAUUAGAUGAGGGGUAAUUGUUGCAGAACUAUGCAUUCUGAAGCAACUGUAAUGUUAGAAGGUUAUUGCCAGUUGUCUACUUCUAUUAUUGGUUGUCGUAGUUCAUGUUGAUAGUCAGCAAAAAAUUCUGAAUCUAUCGCAAGCAAGAGAUUGUGAAAGUUGUAUUUCUUCAAUGACGAAAUGGCAAUUCUUGUAGGCUGAAUCAGUUGUAAGCAAAUGUAUACAUGUACUGUUAUUCAUCUGAAGUUACAAUCAUUCCUUUGCUUGUAUUUAUUUUGAUAUCAAACCAUACUUUUAAUGUAUAUCUGGUUGAAUCAAUAUUUGCAACUUUACUAAUUUUCUUCACGAAAGUAUUGAAUGAUAUGUCCUUAUUAACUAUAACAAGUUUUGUAUCAUGAUCCAAGUAUUUGAAAUCAGUAGUCCAACUCCCAUUAAAAGUUAUAACACUACAAAUCGAACUCAUCCUGCAAAUUCAUGUUUAGUGGAAAUUAUUAGGAAAGAGAAUAGAAAUUUUUCUAGGUUGUUUGUGCUGAAGUUUUUACAAACGAACUAAAUAACUUAGGCAUCUUCUGCUGAAGUUUUUUUGGUAAAAGAUGUAUGACAUAAUUAAUCAAUCCUGCACAGAAAACUUCAUCUUAUUAAAUGCUGAAGUUCUUAGAAAUGAACUAAGAAACUUCAACACAUCUGGCUGAAGUUUUUGUAUGAUGGUAAUUCAUCAAUGCAUGGGAAAAAAACUUCAUCCAGUAUGUGCUGAAGUUUUUGGUGCAAUAUAAUUUUUUAAUUUAGCCAGAGGAGGAGGAAAACUUCAGCUCCUCCUUCUGAAGUCUUUAAGUAAUAAGUAAAAAAACUUCAGCACCUAGGCCGAAGUUUUUUGAUGCAGUAUGAAUUUUUAAUUUAGCCAGUGCAGGAGGAAAACUUUAGCUCCACCUACUGAAGUUUUUAAGUAAUAACUAAAAAACCUAAGCAACUAUGCCGAAGUUUUUUGAUGCAGUAUGACAUUUUAAUUUAGCCAGUGUGAGGAAAACUUCAGCUCCUGCUGCUGCAAUUUUUAAGUAAUAACUAAAAAUCUUAAGCAACUACGUCGAAGUUUUUGAUGCAAUACGAAAUUUUAAUUUAUGCUUUAUUAUUUUUUACCCAGUUUACGAGAAAAACUUCAGCUUUUAAUUAUUAACAAAAAAACUUCAGCAACUAUGCCGAAGUUUUAAACAAUUAUGUAAUAUUUAUUUUAAUAUAAUUUCUUCUUCGUUGUAUUAUUUUGCAGCUCGUUAACUAAAUAACUUCAGCUUAGAAUGUUAGAAUUCAUCAUCAAAUAUAUUUAGAAUUGUAAAUUCAACAUAUCAGUGAAGUUGCUCAAACAACUUCAAUCAAUCAAUUAGAAAACAUAUAAUUCAAAAAAUACUUACAAUAUAUUUGAAUUUGAAUUUGAAUAUGGAAUUUUAAUGCGAGACGCGAUCUACGAAGAGACGAACUGAUGAAGGAGAUACGGAGGAGAUGUGAAAUUUGAAUCUGGGAAUACAGAGGAGAAUCAGACUUUUAUAUGUUUUGGAAGGGGUAUAAUGGUCAUAUUAUUACAAAUUUUUUGUUAGUUGGUUACGUAAUCAAUACUUUUUAAAAAUAGGGUAUAGAUUAAAAGGUGACAUAAAAAUAAGGUACGAUUGCAAAUCCUCAUAAGAAGCCACGUUCUGGUAUUUCUUUUUUUGGCCAAAAUCAGUCACCAAUUGGGCUGUAUUUGCAACUUUGCUUGCUCUCUAUUUGCCCUUAGACGUCUGCUUAAACAAAAUACACUUCAGCUUUUGGCCAUAGACUAAGAGAGUAUUUGGCUCAGCUUAUAAGCUGGUCAAAUUGGUUUAAACGUAUUUUUUGACUUAUUUACGUAUUUAGUAAAAUUAGAAGUGUUUAUAAGUUAAGUGCUUAUAAGUCAAAAAUAAGCCCAAAGCAUAAGUUGUUCUCCCCCAACUUAUCAAAUAUUCGCUUAUAAGAAUUUUAUUUUUGACCAAAGUAUUUAUUAUUUUUUCCCUAAAAUGCUUCUUUUUAAAAUACUCAGCUCUUCAGCUACUUAUUGUUAUUUCAACACUUUUAUCCAAACAUAUAACUGCUUAUUUUUUGAAUCAGCUUCAGCAAUUAAAAGUAUUUUUCAAGACCUAAUAUUUAUCAGCUAUUCUAAAUCAGCUAAGCCAAGCAGGCUCUAAUCUUAGGCGAGUUGCGCAAGUUCAACGGAAAAUGUGAAUUAUACUUAUAUUUAAAAUAACAACAACAACCCAGUAGCCAGUAGGAUUCCACAAGUGGCGUCUGAAGCCUGGGGGGAAUAAUGUGUACGCAUCUUACCUUUAUCCCUGUAGGAUAAAGUGAUUGUUUCCGAAAGACCCUCGGCUCGAGAGCAAGAAUAGGAACGAGUAAAUAACAACAACAAGGCGAAGAAAAUAAUAUCAACAAUGUGUGAAAAAAUAAAUGGAAGAAAGCAAUAGCAAUAGCAAUAGCAAUAGCCACAAGUAGUAACAUGACAGGUAUAAGAAAACCGAAGUGGAAAAUGGUACUAAUAACCCUAAUACUGGCAUUCUAAGAAUCGAAAACAAUGUACUAGUUUGUUAGCCCUAAUAAACCUAAAAUAUAUCAGAAAAACACAUGACAACCUAUUAUCCUUCUACCCUAAUCUUCAACCUCUAUACCCUCCUGUCAAGGGCCAUGUCCUCGAUAAGCUGAAGUCGCACCCUGAUCAUAAAUAUAUACUUGAAUUUUAAAAAAGAAAAAAAACAUAAGUUCAAAUCUUAAACCCUAAAUUACAUUUAAAUCUUAAAUUCGUCUAUGCGCUUUCCUAACUAAUUAACCAAAAAGGCCGGUUGAAUUGUAGCCUCUUCUGCUGUGUUUAGACGCUUUCAAUUUCCUAAUGAAGUUUUAUAUAGCCUCGUCUGCAGAAUUAAGAUAGUGAUUAAUCAGAAUAUAACUUUUGACUUAAUAGGUAAGAAAGCACCUCUUCAAUUGGAAUUUGGAAAUGAGACACCAAUCAUACUUCAACUUUACACAAUGAUCAGAUCCAACACUUUUGAACGAAAACAUGAACGGACUCGAUGAAAAAAGAAUAUAUCCUUUGCUUUUUUGUUUUUGCCCAUUUGCUUAGUGUCUUCUUCGAAUCAAUCCUCUCUCUCAAAAAUGUUUGAAUCCAAAAGAAAGGACGGUUUUCAAUUGGAGUCCGAAAGGCUAGAAUUUAUACCAUAACUUAUGAUCAGCGUUGGAAGCUGAAUUUUCACCAAGAGGAUUCAAAAACAAAAAGUAAAAAUGUGAAGAAGCCAAGAGAAUUCAACAUCUAAAAAUAUUUCACUUUAUAUAGACUGUAUAAAUUUCAGGCGAAAGAGAUUCAGUUUAACCCCCUUCCGUAUGCCAAUUUAACUUUAUAUAAACGGUAUAAAUUUCAGGCGAAAGAGAUUCAGUUUAACCCCCUUCCGUAUGCCUAGAUCCGCCCCUGCUUAUGACCACACGUCGAAUCUAUAAUUUAAAUUUGAUAGGUUUUUAUUUUUAAGGUUUUCCGUACUGAAUCAUCCUAUAUUUGAAAGUACAGGCUCAGAAAUUUAAUACUUAGACGAAAAUUUAUGUGAUUUUUACAUAUAUAUUUAUAUUUUGUCCCAAAAAAAUACCGAAUUCAAUUGAACCAUUUAAAAUAAAACUCCAUCGCCUCUAACCACAACUUAGACAACACCUUUCUUUCUCUCUAUAUAACCACAUAUUCCUCUUUGCUCCAUAUAGUCUUCAAGAAAAACAAGGGAAAGCAACCUAGAGAGAAUUCUGAUUUAAUCAGAAAAGAAUUAUAUCAGAAAAAUCAAGGAAAGAAACCUAGAGAGAAUUUUGAUUUAAUCAGAAAAGAAUUAUAUUUUGAGAUCAUGGGUUGGCUCAUAGGAGAAAGGAGAGGGGUAAGUUGGAGAGAUCAAACUCUAGAGUCAAUAUCAGCACCUCCUUUGCCCUUAAUAGUUUUAUUUGGGCUAGUGAUUUUCUUGAUUUCUAUGAAUACUUAUUCAGAGUAUAAGGCAACAAUAGAAAGAUCCAAAGCUAGUUUGAAGUUGUUGUCUAUCUUGUUGCCUUUUCUUGUCAUUCUUUUGGUGUAUAUCUUGCUUAAUAGUAACAGAUGGUUUUAUCCAGUUGGAGUUUCAAGGCCAGUUAUGUACCACUUGGCUAGUCAAGAAGGAAGCUCUCCUUGGGGUUUGGCUCUGCUAUUGGUGCUGCUUUUGGUCAUGGUUCAUUAUCAAGAUUCAUUUCAAUCUACUUGGUUUCGUAUACUUUGAAGAAAUGUUACCCUAGAGGACAAACAGGCCCUCACUGCUAGUUUUCGGAUACGAGAUAUCCAUCCUACGAUGCAGAAAUUAUUUAGUUUGUUAUAUUACUAUAUAGUACCUUUUACAUCUCUUCACAAACUCCUUUGGCAAAAGUUGUAACUUGUACACUAUUAGGAUUAAUAUGAUUAGGUGCCUUAGUGUAUUAACCUACCAUGAUUUGGAGUUGAACUGUUUUUCAUUUGUUUCUCGGGAGCCUAUUUCAUUAUGUAAUUAUAUGUUUUCUUUUCAAUAUUUUUGAGUUGGGACAUUAACUAAUUAAAAUCUUCAUGUUUG
RNAcentral lists this long non-coding RNA (6714 nucleotides) under Nicotiana benthamiana. Its description in RNAcentral is "long non-coding RNA (NBEN_LNC032967)". Lineage: Eukaryota; Viridiplantae; Streptophyta; Magnoliopsida; Solanales; Solanaceae. The record is from RNAcentral.